GACUCAAAGAAAGACAAAAAGAAGAAAAAAAAGAAGGAAUCGAAGAAGGCCACCGAAUCACGCUUUGUAUCUUUGUUGAUU
This 81-nucleotide non-coding RNA is filed under the name Aplanochytrium sp. PBS07. Lineage: Eukaryota; Bigyra; Thraustochytrida; Thraustochytriidae. The record is from RNAcentral.